This 484-nucleotide ribosomal RNA is filed under the name uncultured bacterium. RNAcentral describes it as "partial 16S ribosomal RNA". It matches the Rfam family "Bacterial small subunit ribosomal RNA", at positions 30 to 507 of the family's 1533-position model. The record is from RNAcentral.
AUUGAACGCUGGCGGCAGGCUUAACACAUGCAAGUCGAGCGGAAGAAGGCCGCUUGUUCCUGGAGUCAGCGGCGGACGGGUGUGAAACGCCUAGGAAUCUCCCUGGGUGUGGGGGAUAACGUCUGGAAAUGGGCGCUAAUACCGCGUACGUCAUGAGGGAGAACGGGGGGGAUGUUGGCACCUUUCGCCAUCAGACGAUCCUAGGUCGUAUUAGCAAGUUGGUGGGGUAAAGGCCUACCAAGGCGACGAUCCGUAGCUGGUCUGAGAGGAUGAUCAGCCACACUGGAACUGAGACACGGUCCAGACUCCUACGGGAGGCAGCAGUGGGGAAUGUUGGACAAUGGGCGAAAGCCUGAUCCAGCCAUGCCGCGUGUGUGAAGAAGGCCUUCGGGUUGUAAAGCGCUUUUGUAUGGAAGGAAAAGCAUUAGGUUAAUACCUUGCGGUUUUGACGGUACCGGAAGAAUAAGCACCGGCUAACUUCGUG